GAGCGCGUAGCUCAAUCGGUAGAGCACGACACUUUUAAUGUUGGGGCUCCGGGUUCGAGUCCCGGCGCGCUCACCA
RNAcentral lists this transfer RNA (76 nucleotides) under Alphaproteobacteria bacterium. Its description in RNAcentral is "tRNA-Lys". It matches the Rfam family "tRNA". From Rfam's summary of the family: Transfer RNA (tRNA) molecules are approximately 80 nucleotides in length. Their secondary structure includes four short double-helical elements and three loops (D, anti-codon, and T loops). Lineage: Bacteria; Pseudomonadati; Pseudomonadota; Alphaproteobacteria. The record is from RNAcentral. RNAcentral also lists the same sequence under 2 other names.